GAUGAACGCUAGCGGCAGGCUUAACACAUGCAAGUCGAGGGGCAACGCGAGUAGCAAUACUUGGCGGCGACCGGCGCAAGGGUGCGUAACGCGUGAGCAACAUGCCCGUAUCAGGGGGAUAAUCCAGGGAAACUUGGUCUAAUACCCCAUAGUAAUUUCGUAAGGCAUCUUAUGGGAUUUAAAGCUUUGGUGGAUACGGAUUGGCUCGCGUGACAUUAGCUUGAUGGUAAGGUAACGGCUUACCAUGGCAAUGAUGUCUAGGGGUUCUGAGAGGAAGGUCCCCCACACUGGAACUGAGACACGGUCCAGACUCCUACGGGAGGCAGCAGUGAGGAAUAUUGGACAAUGGAUGGAAAUCUGAUCCAGCCAUGCCGCGUGAAGGAAGAAUGUCCUAUGGAUUGUAAACUUCUUUUGUAUGGGAGCAAUAAGGUAUUCGUGAAUACUGAUGAGAGUACCAUACGAAUAAGCAUCGGCUAACUCCGUGCCAGCAGCCGCGGUAAUACGGAGGAUGCGAGCGUUAUCCGGAUUUAUUGGGUUUAAAGGGUGCGUAGGCUGUUAUAUAAGUCAGUGGUGAAAUAUUCGGGCUCAACCGGGAUACUGCCAUUGAUACUGUAUAGCUGGAAUAUGGUUGCUGUGGGUGGAAUGUGUGGUGUAGCGGGUGAAAUGCAUAGAUAUCACACAGAAUAUCGAUUGCGAAGGCAACUCACAAAGCCAUUAUUGACGCUGAUGCACGAAAGUGUGGGGAUCAAACA
Molecule: ribosomal RNA, 752 nt
Filed under: bacterium enrichment culture clone B1-54
Lineage: Bacteria
Description: bacterial SSU rRNA
Rfam family: Bacterial small subunit ribosomal RNA
Source: RNAcentral